This 483-nucleotide ribosomal RNA is filed under the name Liocoris tripustulatus. Its description in RNAcentral is "SSU rRNA". It matches the Rfam family "Eukaryotic small subunit ribosomal RNA", at positions 54 to 566 of the family's 1831-position model. The record is from RNAcentral. Lineage: Eukaryota; Metazoa; Arthropoda; Insecta; Hemiptera; Miridae.
CAAGUCUCAGUAUGAACUGUAUUAAAGUGAAACCGCAAAAGGCUCAGUAAACCAGUCAUGAUUCACUCGAUGGAUAACUGUGGUAAUCCUAGAGCUAAUACAUGCAAAGUCCCGACCAGUCUUGGGAAGGACGCUUUUAUUAGAUCAAGACCAAUCGCUUGGUGACUCUAGGUAACACAUCAGAUCGCACGGUCCUCGCACCGGCGACUUAUCCUUCAAAUGCCUGACUUAUCAACUGUCGAUGGUAGACUCUAUGUCUACCAUGGUUGUAACGGGUAACGGGGAAUCAGGGUUCGAUUCCGGAGAGGGAGCCUGAGAAACGGCUACCACAUCCAAGGAAGGCAGCAGGCACGCAAAUUACCCACUCCCGGCACGGGGAGGUAGUGACAAAAAAUAACGAUACGGGACUCUAUGAGGCCCCGUAAUCGGAAUGAGUACACUUUAAAUCCUUUAACAAGGAUCCAUUGAAGGGCAAGUCUGGUG